AAGUCGUAACAAGGUUUCCGUAGGUGAACCUGCGGAAGGAUCAUUAUCGGGAGAACGGGGCCCCUCGCGGGCCCCAACCCCCUCAUCUCUGCCAUCUUUGAAACCCCCUACCCUCGGCUUGGUGGGAGGGCCCUGCUUUCGAGCUGCCCCGGACGCGGGGCAAAGGGGCUCCCCUGCCCGGCCGGCCGUAAUACUCUGUAGUAAAGCAUGAAGUCGGAUCUAUACAAGCUAAAGCGAAUAAAA
This 243-nucleotide unclassified non-coding RNA is filed under the name plant metagenome. RNAcentral describes it as "partial contains small subunit ribosomal RNA and internal transcribed spacer 1". The stretch from base 1 to 46 matches the Rfam family "Eukaryotic small subunit ribosomal RNA", at positions 1786 to 1831 of the family's 1831-position model. The record is from RNAcentral.